AAAGGAAGUAGGCCUCUUCUCUCUUCCUCCAGAGUCACCAUGUGAGCCAAGGAAGACAGGACACUUGCCACUAGCGUCCAAUAAGUGUUCAGACUAUGCUCUUGGAAACCAACUGCAUACAGGGUUUCUGACAUCAGACUCACCUAUUGCCAACAUUCUGUCUGUCCCUCUGUCAGCUGAGUGUCUGCAGUGAUGAGAAAGGCACGAUAACUCCAAGGCAAUUCAUCACCUCUGCAACUGAGGGAGAGCUUCUGAGCUCAGUUGUGUCAGAGGAAGCUGCCAAUGCCUCUGUCAGAGCUGGGGAGUGGGGCUGAAGGUGCUGGUCCAUGAAAUCACACAGGAGAAAGGGAGAAGCUGCCAGAAGCAGUAGACCACGGGGUGUAAGUGAAGAAUGAUUGUUGCUGGCAUGGACCACUCAACCCCAAAGGGACCAAGUGAUGCCAUGGGGCUUUCUCUGUGGUCUGUUUACUCCUGAGCAUCCACCCAGCAGAAGCAAUAAUAGUGCUGAGGGCUGGAAGCAAAACAGUUUCCAAUGAAAAGGGUUCACCUAGGCAACAGUCCCUCCUCCCCACCAAAUAGGGAUGGAAAGAUGAGAAGCCGAUGCCAAGGGCUUCUUUUCUGUUUUCCUAUACUGCUCUAGAGGAGAGCAGAUUCUUGAUGAACCAGAGGGACAAGGAUACACUGGACUUCCUAGUGCACUAGUCUACUUCUACUGCCUUCCAGCUGUCUGUGCAAACUGGUGAUGCAUUCUGACGGGGUCUGAAAUCCAUUCCCACAACAAGCAAGCCAAAGUAUGAGCAACAUGAGGCCAAGGCUACUGGAGCCCUUCAGGAGUGACGUUUGGCCCCAUAUGAUCAUGAUCCUGUUAUGCCCUGUUGCAGAAUCCAACAUUGCCUGUCCCAGCAGCACCAAAGGGGAAUCCCAAGGGCUGAAGCUACAUUGGAGAACACACAUUGUUGUUCAUGUAUCUAUCCCUGCUCCAUAAUGCUCAUGGUGGAGAAGAGUGGUAACAAGGCUGCUCAGUCAUUCUGUCAUCACUUCUGUUGCUGUGCUGUUGGCAAGCUAACUAGCUGGCUUUCUGUCUUGUCCUAUUUUAUUUGUGAAGACUGAUUUUAGGGCCUCCAGAACGCUCAUUCCCCCACACUGAUUUUUUUCUUUCUCAAAACAGACCAGUGAAGGCUCAAGAAAGCUAUGUGUCACAGAAGAUGAAAUGCCCCCACCCAGUGUUAGAAGCAGACACUGCUCUAAGUGUUUCAAACAGAGGGUACCAAUAACAAAAGAAGUCUAGAUGGGGCCUUGGAGAAGGAAAGACCAACAAGAAAACCUGUAAGGCAACACAGAUUGACCACAGCGGGAAGUUCUACUACCUUUAGGUGUCUGUGCUUCUACAUGCUGCUGCAUCCGUACAGUAGCUCUGAAAUCACAAGAAUACGAUGACUGUAGAAGGAAGAAACAGAACUCGAGAUGCUUAUAUCCAUCAUUCUACAUGCAUAUCAACCCUGGAUACCUACAAUGAUCACUCAGUAGGAUAAAGUUAACUCACAUAGGCUACUUCUUAAAAACACAUGGUCUUAUCUUACCAGAGUACGCCUGGCAUGUCCUGUUUUUCCAGUCUCAACAUGGCAUCCUUUUGUGGUGCCUCUUUGCCUACCUUUCCCAGAAUUAUCUUCGUCUCCUAACCCCAUCUAUCUUCCUGCCUCUCCUAGAUAUUGGCCAAACAAUGUUUUAUUCAUCAACCAAUAAGAGAAACAUAUAUACAGAAGGACAUCCCCAUCACACAUAGGCUACUUCUUAACAAUUAUAUUCAAAGGAAACUGUGGUUGGUAUGUAAAAUAAAUUCAAAAGUUAAUAAAAAAUAUUUAAAAGGAUAUUCAUAUGAAUUAAAAUAUUCAUCCAAUUUCUUUUCCUUUUCAUAGUAAUAUUUGCUUUUUACUAACAUGGAUGUCCAACAAAUCAAAAUAUUUUCAUAAUCUGUGUCUCAUUUGGGUCAUUUCGGUUUUACUAAUUUGAUUUCAUGAUUAUUACUGGGAGGUUUUGUUAUACAGCAGGAGAAUGUGUUAAAAAGAUCUGCUCUGACUGUCCCAUAGGCUAGAUAUGAGGUAUUUGUAAACAAAUAUUUAAACUGAGGCUGAAAGACGUUAAGAAAUUUGUGUAAGAAUCACUCCAGUAGUAAGUCAUGAGUGAAGUUCUUACACAAUGGUUUCUUGGACUGGCACAGUGGUAAAUGACUCUAAGAGGAGCUAUUCAAGAGGUUCACUUAAGGCCAGGAAUUUGAACCCAGUGUAGGCAACAUAUGGUAGUAUUAUCAUCUCAGUUAGACAGAUGAGGGAAUUGAAGUGCAGAAAGGCCAAAUGACUCACUCAAGCUCCUACAGCUAAUAGAGGGCAGAAGAAAGACUUGAACUUGCACCCUGAUGGUAUUGCUCCACUCACUAAAUGUAUAACCUUCAUGCAGGCUUUCCUCAUCAACUGCAAUCUGCUUUGAAACUGAUGCUUAGUCUGGUGUCAGUUGUAGCUGAGAGACAAAGAUCCUUCUCAGCUGCUCUGUCAGUCCCUCUACAGCCUCUUCCAUCUUGGAGGGAAUCUCCCAGCAGAUGGAAGUCUGGGGAAGAAUACCUCCCCUGCCUUCCUUUUUUAUUUUUAUUUUUUUAAAUAAUGCUUGCUGUGGAACUCGGGUCCUUAGUACAUGCUAAGCAAGAGAGAUGUACCACGGAGCUCCAUCCAAGAAGAGGUCUUUGUCUUUUUGUAGCAAGGUCUCACUAUAUAUGUAGUUCAGGCUAGCCUUGAACUCACACCACUUUAAUAGCAUAUGGCAGGGUGUUGUUCUAAGGACACCAGCUGUGAAGUUGAAUUCAGGAGUACUUGGCUGUUUAUUAGACAUUGAGAAGAGAAAAAUGGGAAGGAAGAUUGGCUUUUAUCGAAUAGUAUCUAUGUUCUUCCAAGUACAGUUAAGUAUUGCACUGGGCUUUGUGAGCUCCAGUAAACUCGAAGGAGCCAGACAGGAAAAGUGCUCAUUGCUUCCGCCACAGGUAAUACUGACCCACAACACUAGAUGGCAAAGUGGCGCUAUGCUACUGUGAUGUAAGCAGGAAAAAAGCCAAGUGUAAGUUUUUUUUGUUUUGGUUUGGAUUUUUUUCGCUUUUUGUUUUUCUUUUCUUUUUUUAAAAAGGUCUCACUCUACCAUUCUGGUUUUCUGGUUUCUUCUUUCCUUUUUAAUUUUUAAGUUUAUUUUAGGAAAAUUAAUGUCUCUGUAAAGUUAAUAUCUUAGUUUUUCAAAUCGUUGUUUAGAAAUGCUCAGGUUCAGGCUCUGUCAAGUAGGUAAAUACAGGGCUCUCUGCCUAAUGGCUGCCUGGUCAAAAGCUACCUCCUAAUUGAUCAGAUAAAAACGGGAGGACAACAGAAGAUAAUGGAGAACUAUGAAAUGUACUUUCAAAAGCUGCAUGUUAACAGAAAUGUGACAUAAAUGUGACAAAUGUAUAUGGCACAGAUGUCAUCUGUCAUGGCCUUUUCUGUUUAAAUAAACUUGGGAGCAAAAAACAAAUUGGACACACUGGUGCUCAUUUCAUUCAUUCAGAAACAAGCGUCUUUUAUUCGCUGGAGGCAGCCCAGAAUUUUUAAAAAGGAAGAGAAAGAGAGUUCUGCUGUGGCAUUUAAGAAAUCUGUGGUGAAGGUGGAGGAAGGACCAAUGUAUCAAUGCUGUCAGCCUUCAGUCCCUCAAUCAUUCUUCCUCUUCAGAUUGUGAUUAGAGCUGCUGGCCCCCACCUCCCUGGAGUUUUCUUCCAGGCAAGCCUUCAGACCACCCAGGGUACUCACCAGAGCAACCAGCACAUCAGCAUGUUAAUACAAGACUGCACAUGUCAGAGGUUCGGGGGCUGACUUUUACUGCUCUUUGAAUUGUCUCCUCAAAUGGAAUUUAGUCUAGUGCUUGCUAUAUCACAGGUGCCCAGUAACUGUUAGGAGAGAGACUGGAUUCAGGCUGUGUAGCCACUGAGGAGAAUUGGUCUACAAGUUUUCAAGUUUUCCUCAGACAACAAUGACAAGAUGAAGUAUUGUUAACAGAGGCAGAGUCAGGAGAGCCUGAUGUUAAGUGUAGACACACCAAUCAAACAUUUACUCAUAAUAAAUCAUAAAGAAAUUUGUUUUUAAAAUUCCUUAGCGUAUAUGUGGUAUAACCAUUUGUUAAAGAUGAAAGCAUUUUUUACUAAUGAGAUGGAUGUGUUUAUUUUUACAUAAAUAAUUAAAUCUUAGCUGAAUAUUUCAUUCCACAGGACAUAGAUCUUUGGGAACUGACCGGUAUUUUGACUUUAUAUUCGUCUGUGUUGAGGACUGCACUUCGAAAGCAGACCUGGAGACCAGAAUGUGAGGGCAAGGAGUAUUGGGGAGGUAAUGCCAAGAAGACUGACAGGGGCGAGAAGAGGAGGAAAGCCAGCAUGGUGUGCAACAUUAAGCAAGUUGACACCAUGGGAAACCUACUCAGUUUCAUUGGGAACAGAGAAGAAUGUACCUUAGAAAUACAUCCUACAAGUAUGUGAAGAUAUUCGACAACUUCCAUCAUUGAGUCUUUGACAUUAUUGACAGAACGAUGUACAGAUUAACCAAAGAAAGUCUAAAGACUUUCACAGAUACUGCAAGAGUGAUUAAUUGAAGGUGAACUGGAUACCUGGCCAUAGAUACAGGUGGAGCUAAACAGCACCUGCUAAAACAAUAUCCCUAUUGCUUUGGAAACAGCCAAGGCUCAGUAUACACCAGAUUUGGCUAUUCUAAUGAGGAUUUCAUCAAAACUCCCAACAGUUUUAUUUACUCUUCUCUUCAUUAUCUUAGUGACCACACUACUUCUUUUCACAACCAUAGCGAGGGUGGCAAUCCAGUGUUUUACAUGAACAUGGACUUCCAUCCAUUAUUCAAUUUUAGCAGCAACAUUUAUUGUCAAAUGAUUCAUGAGAACACUGUGUAACUGGGUCAAAGUACAAUGAACUUGGUGGGGAUGGGAAAGGCACAGACUCUUUCCUGCUGCUAAAGAGGAAAUGGGGAAGGGUCAUCAUCUACAUCAAAGUAUUCCAUUGUUUCAGCUACUAUGGAAUCUGGAAUCAAGGACUUUGAUAUUGUCUAUGUAUCCAGACCACUUGGAACGCUUUCCAGCUGCAGCAUUGGGACCUUAAUAAACGAACCAUAUUAUGUUUAUACUUCACUGUUUAAGUAAUGCUAUUUCACUCUGUGUAAAGCCACUUAAAACACCAGUGGAAACACAUGCAUGGACCAUGAAACAACUUUAAAUGGAUAAUCAAUUUUUAUCACAUAUUGGAGGUUAGACUGGUAUAUCUGAGUGAAUUAUGAAAGUCUGUAUGUGAUUCUAGCUGGGAGUGGUUGCAUACCAAAUCUUUGUCUUUGCUACAAAUUGGUCUGUAGUGAGAUAAUUGGGAGAUUCCAAAUCUAACACUUUGUUCUUUAAAAACACAAUAUAUUUUAUUUGGACAUACAUGUGAAGGAUUUUAUUAGGCUUACUAGGACAACCUUAAUUCUUUAGUAUAGCAAUUCUCUCCUAAGAUGGAAGAUAUGUGAUUGACAUAUUUCUAAGGCACUGAAAAGUUAUGAGCAGCAUGAUCAUGAGCUAAACUGUAUGGGGCAUUCUAAAACAUAUGAGACAUGGUUUUAGAAAAAAAAAAGAACAUGAGCAAUGGUGGUACAUGCCUUUAAUCCCAGCACUCAGGAGGCAGAGAGAGGUGAAUCUCUGCAAGUUUGCAGCCAGCCUAGUCUACACAGUAGUGAAUUUCAAGACAGUCAGAGUUACCUAGUAAGACCCUGUCUCAAAAACAAAACAAAAAAAUGAAAAGAAAAAACCACGAGAAACCUGUUUUUGAAACGACUAGUAAGCAUGUGAAACUCAUUAUACCUGAGCACGAUGAAAAGGUGAAUGGAGUCAAGGUAAAUUUGAACCAAUUACUGCAUAACAGAACCUAAAAGUUCAAGGAGAAAUUAGGCAAGUUCAAGUUAAUAUUCAUUAACUAUGGAGGAGUAUUUCAUGGAUGCAAAUUGCCUCAUUCUUACAAAACACUGGCAUCACCUUGGAAGAUAGCAGAGCUUCUUGGGCCACUGACUUGACACAAUAAGUUUUCUUCCAUUAACCAGGGGAUAUUGAAAAUGCCAGAUUACCUUAAAGCCCUGAACUACCAAGAAGCUACCAGCUCUUUCAUCUUCUAUCUUUAAAACAUUUGUUGUCCCCAAAGUGAAUGAUGAAGUGGAGAAGGAACCUUGAAACUGUUACCAUUCCUAUGCUACACACACACAGCACAGUCCCCCCUUUCUCUUUCACACACACACACACACACACACACACACACACACACACACACACACACACACACACUUGUGAACUAGCAGUUCCUAAAACACCUUCCAAAAUCAAUAUUAUGCUCUGUUUAUGAGGACCCAGAAUAGUAGAGCUCUAGACCAAACUCGAUUGUUUAAUAAAAUGUCACAUCCAAACACUGAUUCACUGAGUCAGCCUUUUUUCCCUGACUCUAAGACAAACACUAGGUUCAGGAUUAUCAAUCCAACCAACAACUUCUAUUAUCAUUUGGUUUUGUCUUCUAAAACUCAAAAUCCAGUGAAUUUUUACUGAGUGACAGUUCAAGUCAGACUAUUCCAAUCAAAUUCCCUCCAUUCUAUUUACUAUUUGGCCGUUUGACACUUUCAUAGAGAACCAUGGAUGCAGCACAUGUUCCUAAAACUUAAGCCUGUACAUCAUGACACAUUUAAAUCAAGAGUUCUGAUGCUAUAAAAUAUGACUUUGUGAAUGUGAUCAUUUUAUUCUAUAUUUAUCGAUUUCAUUAAAUCAUGGAUUUUUAAAGUGACAGUCUGACCUGUAACAAAUGGUUAGACAUAUCACAUAUAUUAAUGUUCAACCACUCAUGAGAAAGAACACCCUAACUUUGUUGUAGGACUUCAUUCACACAGACUUUUUCUAACCUCCGAUAUUUUUCCAUAUGUUCAUAAUCCUUUUAGACCCUAUUUCUAUAACUUCUGCCCUCUCCUUUGUGGUUAGCAAUUAAAACCAGCAAACAAUUAGCAUUGUAAAGUCUUUUACGUUCUUGCAUCAGUUCUUACAUUCUCACUCUAAUCUACUAAGAUGGCUCAGUGGCAAACAAUAACACAUGAAUAAAUUCAUUCUUUUGUUCAAAAUCACUAAUUAUCUAAAUGUCUUAUGGUACAGGGAUAGUUGAAGAAAGGUUACAAAUAUUUUAAGCUAUAAUUAGACUGGGAAGCAAAACAUAUAGCACAAUCAUAAAAUUGUAAAAUAUAAUACUAAUAAGAAAAAUAGCAUAAUUUGCACACACAAAUGUAGUAAGGGCACAGAUGAAAUUUCUGUUUCAAGUAAGAAAAAUAAUUUAUAUAUCAUAGUAAUUAGUCCAAUAAAAACAUAUAUUGUAGAUAUAUAUCUAAAUAUGUAGGAAUAUGCACAUACAUGUGUUUAGACAUUCCUAUUUCAGAUUUCAUUAGUAAUCCAGUAUUUUUCUAGUUGUGGUAUCCACUGUCAUUUUAAUUUUUUAAUUCCCUAGUUGGAGUCUGAUAAUAAUAUCCCACGGUAUUAAAAAGUUAUAAAUUAUCAAGAAAUAAAAGAAAAUCCUCCCAAUUAGGGAAAUACCUAAAUGAUCUUUGUCUUUGCCUAAUAUAUAUUAGCAUAAGUAUGAGGCUAAUAUUAUAUAUUAACAUGUGUUUUAUUAUGAUUUUAUAUAUUAUAUAAACCUCAUAUGUAACAGCAGACCAAAACUAAAAAUGCAAAAUUACAGUGUUCUGACCUAAUGUUCUUCAGUCCCAAGUAUCCAAAUCUUGACACACUUAUAACAUUCAUUUGACGAAUAAUAGUAUUUUAGUACACUUGGUAAUGCACAUGUUUUUUAUCUACCAUAAAGAGCUGUGUUUCUUCAAUUGAUUUAUAUACCACCUGGACAAAAUUAUUUUUUAUUAUGGUUUAUUUCAUUUUUCCAGCAUCCUCAACUUUAAAAUACUUGUAAACUGCCAAUGGAACAGUGACAAUGAUGAACAAAGAAUAGCCUUGGUGUUCAAUAUCCAAAGUCCACACUUCUUAAGAGAACUUCCAGUGAUUAAUGCUUUCAAACUAGCAGGGUCAGGUUAAAAAUCAAGCAACAAUCUGUCUUGUACUUCAUCAUACAAAAAAUUCACAGACUGGUUUAAAGUUUCCCCAAAGAGGUAACCAUUUGGGUCUAGAGUUUGCAUAAGGGACUUAUAAAGGAACUUGCCAAACAAUAGAAAAAUGAUCAUUACAUAGUAAUGAGGGGUGUUAAUGAUAUUUUCUAAUCAUAUGACCUCAUUUCCUGAAUUAUACUAUGUCUACAUCCUGAACAAAAAGACACAGAGAGUAUUCUACUCUUUCUAAUUUAAAAAUACUUCUUUAUCAAUUGAAAUGAUAUUCUUCACAUAUCACUCUGUGGAAUAUUGUUUUGAUGACUUCUACUGAAUUUUCUCAGUACUUUUUUGACAUGAAAUUGCAUCAUGUUAAAGCCAACAAUUCACUGAAUGUUUGGGAAACAUCACAAAUGUUUGAGGCUAUGUGCCUAAUGAAUGUAACAUGGACUCAUUUUAUCCCCCUUUAUUGGAAUUGCUUUGAAUUUUAAACAGUUGUUAGCCAUUAACUACACUUUAUACCUAAUUCCGCAUAUGUGUAUAUGUGUUUUAGAUUCCAUGUGUAAAAUUAACUUAUUUGGGAUCAUAUGCAUUUACUGAUUAUUUUUGCAUGGCAACUACUAUUGUUGACUUCCUCAAGAUAGAACAGUUAGUUCUGACCUAAAUGAAACAGAUUAAUUAAACUUCGUAUUCAAAGAUACCUUUGGUGGCUUUCCAAAUCACUCAAGCAAACUUUUGGAGAAUCUUCUCUAAUGAAUCCAUUUCUUUUCCCCUGAUUAGCUUUAAGUCCCACCUAGUCUAACAUUUACAUUGUCAUGAUCUCUUCUUCAAAAUCUGGUAGUAUUAGUUUUUUUAACAAAUUCUGUAAAGUCAACCAAAAUAAGCAUGCUAAUGACAAAUAUAAGUCAUAACAUGCUUCCUCAAACAUGCAUAUGAGCACACACACAAGAUAGGUAUUUCUUGACUCAAAAACAACAAACCUAUGAGUGUCCUUAUGGUCCCAGCUGAUAUCAGGGAAUAACUUGAGAGGCUGCAAGUCUUAAGUCUUACUUGUGAUGCCAUAAGAGUUUUUGUCAAACUUCCAGUGUCCUUUUAACUCAGAUUGAUUCAUAGUCUUUGAAAAGAGGGGGAAGGGUCAGGUGUUUUAAAUUCCACAAACUGACAUUCCCAUUAAUAAGGUGUAGAUUUACAGAAAAAUUUACAAAGAAACUACAUGUAUAUCUCCCAUACAUCAGUCUACAUGUUCAGAGUCAUGACAUUAAAUUACUCUCUUUAGUGUUUAGGAUAAGGUACAGUGUUUUAAACUGCAUUGCAAAUUAUCCAGUAGAUUAUAAAGCCUUCCAGACAUGUACCACAAAAGUGAAUCAAGUCUCAAUCCCAGAAACAGUAACCGUAUUACCUAUAGCACAAAGUAUGUAUAGCACAUGUAGAAAUGUUUAUCUGGAUAAUCUAAUUAAUUGCUAGAAGCCAGUUCUCAGAAUAUCACCAGCUGGAUCAUGAAAUUGUGCUUGGUGGGUUGCAGUACUUCUCAAGAUACUCAUAACAAAUAGAAGCCCAUUCUCUGUGGACAAGCCUUGGCAAAUAUGCUUUGGAUUUCAAACAGCCAAAAGAAUAGUUCUUAUUCUUCCACUGAACAGUGAAUUUUCUCUACAUUUACAAAGAAUCUCCUACACUUAAAGCUGUGUAGUUUAUGGGGGAAGAGGACAACACACAGCAACCAAGGAGAACACAAAAUCAGAAAGGCCCAAAUGGAAAUGAGAAUUCAGACGCAGCAGAGACAUUGUUUGGCCCAAGAGCUCACGGAUGACUCUGUAAAAAAUUUUUCAGUUUGCUUAUACCUUAAAUGAUGGGUGUGAAUACCUUGGGAGUAGGGAAUGGGCGUUUGGGAACAAAAGUAACAAUACAAGUACAAAAUUAUUGAAUAAUACAGUAUUAUUGGAGCAUGGCAUACAUGAUGGAGCCAGAAAGGAUCACAUAGCUGAGAGCCUACAUAAGGAUCUCAAGAUCAUAGGUUGGAGAAGCAAGUGAGCAAUGGCGACAUAUAAGGUUUUUAUUAUUGUUUUUAAUCUAUUUUAUUAUGGUGAAAUAUAACAGAAAUUCAGGAAAUUACAUCAAUCAUGUUCAGCUAAGGGAAUUAUCAUAAAUGCAUUUAGAAAUAGGAAUAUUACUGGGAAGCCCCCUCCUCAUGUGCCCUCCCAUCCCAGUGUUAUAAUCUCAAAGGUCACCACUAGACUGAUCUUUGUGAUAAUGAAGCAUGAAUUUCUCAAACAUCAUUUAGUUUUGUUGCUUUAUGAAUUUUGUGGAAGUGCAAUUGUGUAUUAUGAAUUAUCUUGUGCCUGGAUUCUUACAAUGUUGUUUUGUGAGCGUUCCCCGUGUUGUUGUGGAAGCUGUACUUCACCUAUUUUCAUUGCUAUGGAGUGUUCCUUUACACAAAUAAACCAUAUUGAUCCA
RNAcentral lists this long non-coding RNA (10592 nucleotides) under Cricetulus griseus (Chinese hamster). Its description in RNAcentral is "lncRNA (ENSCGRG00015038291.1)". The record is from RNAcentral. Lineage: Eukaryota; Metazoa; Chordata; Mammalia; Rodentia; Cricetidae.